This 386-nucleotide long non-coding RNA is filed under the name Struthio camelus australis. RNAcentral's name for it is "lncRNA (ENSSCUG00000015659.1)". Lineage: Eukaryota; Metazoa; Chordata; Aves; Struthioniformes; Struthionidae. The record is from RNAcentral.
CUAUGAUGCUCUACGGAUAUAUGGAAGCAGAGUUUGCAGGAGAUUCUGCCCAUCGCUAUAAGUAAACUCAGCUUCCUGCUCCAUUCAUCAGUAGAAGGAACCAACAGAUUUCCUUGCUGUUCCCUGGCCAGGGUGGUGCCGUAGCUGUUGGCAGCGCUCCAGGCUCGCACCAGGCGCAGUGACUCGCAAUACCUUGUAAAAUAGGUUUGGCAGAGCACAGGAAAAUUGCUUACUGCCAUUUCCCUACCUCUGCUCCUGGCUGGAUAUGCGCAGGGAGCACAAGAUGGUGCUGCUCUCCAGAUACGCGUCAGCGCCCCGCUCGGGUGCCAUUCACUUGCUGUGACCACAUCAGCCUGUUCAAGUUUCCCUCAUAUGAACGUGACUAG